This 77-nucleotide transfer RNA is filed under the name Parcubacteria bacterium DG_74_2. Its description in RNAcentral is "tRNA-Arg". It matches the Rfam family "tRNA". From Rfam's summary of the family: Transfer RNA (tRNA) molecules are approximately 80 nucleotides in length. Their secondary structure includes four short double-helical elements and three loops (D, anti-codon, and T loops). Further hydrogen bonds mediate the characteristic L-shaped molecular structure. tRNAs have two regions of fundamental functional importance: the anti-codon, which is responsible for specific mRNA codon recognition, and the 3' end, to which the tRNAs corresponding amino acid is attached (by aminoacyl-tRNA synthetases). tRNAs cope with the degeneracy of the genetic code in two manners: having more than one tRNA (with a specific anti-codon) for a particular amino acid; and 'wobble' base-pairing, i.e. permitting non-standard base-pairing at the 3rd anti-codon position. The record is from RNAcentral. Lineage: Bacteria; Candidatus Parcubacteria.
GCCCUCGUAGCUCAGUGGAUUAGAGCAGGACACUCCUAACGUCAAGGUCGCAGGUUCAAAUCCUGCCGAGGGUACAA